UACGUAGGUGGCAAGCGUUGUCCGGAAUUAUUGGGCGUAAAGGGCUCGCAGGCGGUCCCUUAAGUCUGAUGUGAAAUCUUGCGGCUUAACCGCAAGCGGUCAUUGGAAACUGGGGGACUUGAGUACAGAAGAGGAGAGUGGAAUUCCACGUGUAGCGGUGAAAUGCGUAGAGAUGUGGAGGAACACCAGUGGCGAAGGCGGCUCUCUGGUCUGUAACUGACGCUGAGGAGCGAAAGCGUGGGGAGCAAACAGG
RNAcentral lists this ribosomal RNA (253 nucleotides) under uncultured bacterium. RNAcentral's name for it is "partial 16S ribosomal RNA". It matches the Rfam family "Bacterial small subunit ribosomal RNA", at positions 524 to 776 of the family's 1533-position model. The record is from RNAcentral.